CCAAUAGCGUAUAUUAAAGUUGUUGCAGUUAAAAAGCUCGUAGUUGAAUUUCGGGGUCAGCAAGUUGGUCGUGCCACCGGUAUGUACUGGCUUUGCUGAUUCCUCCUUCUUGUAGAACCGUAAUGCCAUUCAGUUGGUGUUGCGGGGAAACAGGACUGUUACUUUGAAAAAAUUAGAGUGUUUAAAGCAGGCUAACGCUUGAAUACAUUAGCAUGGAAUAAUGAAAUAGGACGAGCGAUCCUAUUUUGUUGGUUUCUAGGAUUGACGUAAUGAUUAAUAGGGAUAGUUGGGGGCAUUAGUAUUCAAUUGUCAGAGGUGAAAUUCUUGGAUUUAUUGAAGACUGACUACUGCGAAAGCAUUUGCCAAGGAUGUUUUCAUUAAUCAAGAACGAAAGUUAGGGGAUCGAAGACGAUCAGAUACCGUCGUAGUCUUAACCAUAAACUAUGCCGACUAGGGAUCGGAUGAUGUUAAUUUUUUAAUGACUCAUUCGGCGCCUUACG
This 500-nucleotide ribosomal RNA is filed under the name uncultured Glomeromycotina. RNAcentral's name for it is "partial small subunit ribosomal RNA". It matches the Rfam family "Eukaryotic small subunit ribosomal RNA", at positions 591 to 1092 of the family's 1831-position model. The record is from RNAcentral. Lineage: Eukaryota; Fungi; Glomeromycota.